Long non-coding RNA from Betta splendens (Siamese fighting fish), 190 nucleotides. RefSeq lists it as uncharacterized. The transcript is spliced from 2 exons. NCBI's taxonomy places the organism in Eukaryota, Metazoa, Chordata, Actinopteri, Anabantiformes, Osphronemidae. The record is from RefSeq and is a predicted model, not a curated record.
GGCAGUCAUUUGGUAACGACCACUAGGUGGCGCCGCGGCUGUAGUAGGGCUGGGAGCGCGGAUUGUCCCUCGCUGGACACCGUACUCCCGGACCCGUUGUAUUCUGGGUGCCGCGGGAGUUUUUUUUAUGUUUUUUUGCUUUCUGUGAAAAGAAUAAAAGCGGAGCCGUAGGUCCCGGCCGCAACUUCGA